CCCUGAGACACCGAGAUAAACGCU
Molecule: non-coding RNA, 24 nt
Filed under: Cricetulus griseus (Chinese hamster)
Lineage: Eukaryota; Metazoa; Chordata; Mammalia; Rodentia; Cricetidae
Source: RNAcentral